RNAcentral lists this long non-coding RNA (2253 nucleotides) under Mus musculus (house mouse). RNAcentral describes it as "long non-coding RNA chr10:89916361-89918614". The record is from RNAcentral. Lineage: Eukaryota; Metazoa; Chordata; Mammalia; Rodentia; Muridae.
UUUUUUUUUUUUCCUUUUGUUUGAAACAAAACCUAUGACACUCGUCACUUUUCCACACAGUCGCAUAAAGUCUAACUCACACACUUCUCUUCUAUGAUGCCUUUCCUCAUCACAGCUGAAGUUCUCUUCUCUUUGUUUUUUUUGUACCACACUCUAGCCCAGUGGCUCUCAAGCUUCCUAAUGCCGUGACCUUUUAAUACAGUUCCUCAUGUUCUGGCGACCCCCAACCACAAACGUAUUUUCUUGCUUCUCAACUAUAAUUUUGCUAAUGUUACGAAUAAUAAUGUAAUAUAUGAUAUGCAGGAUACCUUUGUGAAAGAGUCUUUGGACCCACAAAGUGAUUUGGACUCACAGGUUGAGAACUACGACUGUAGAUCUCCUGUUCUUCUUGUUCCUUGCUUUGUGCUAUUGUCUGAGGAGGUGCUUUCUCUUACAAGGUAAUUAGAUUGUUAGUAGUAGAAUCUGAGCUAUUCGGAAGGAUGAUUUUGUGCAUGUCAGUGUCUUUCUCCCAGCCAGUUUGAUGUAACAACCUCUGUUGUGGAUUAGUCUUUCCAAAGGUGUAUUCUUAGUGUCACUUGAUCUUGCUUUGUACUGUUAUUUGUGUUUAUGAGCCUGACUCAGUAGACAGUACUUGUAGCUGCAAACAGCAGGUAAAAUAUGAAUACGUGAGUCUUGCCCCUGACUGAAGCAGAAGAGAUCUGUAGAUUACCCUUCAUUUACUCUGUUUAGUUAUUUUAUAUACUUGCUUAUUUUAAAAAAUCCCUAUAAAUACCUCUUAUACUCUUUGUUUCCAGUUCCUAUGUGCUGGUUUAGAAACACUGUUUUAUGUGGUGCUGCCCUGCUCUGAAAGAUAUAUUGUCUUACAUUAAAGUACAUUUCAUUUAUUUUCAUGCCCUAUUUAGGGCAUUGUUUUGUCAGCCAUAGGGCUGACCUAGAUGUUCACAAAUGGGGCAUUCAGAGAGACAUACCUGGAGGCGCUGUGGGGGUGCUGGCAAGCUCUGCUUUGCACAUUUGUCUCUAUGCAUGUGCUCAAGCUUUAAGCAAAUGCAUAUUCUUGGCAUUUGUUUUGAUUUUAUUUCCUGUGGUUUUGGAAAUGUGCUUAUGCACUUAGUAAUGUUUUGGGAGUAAUUUUCUCAGUUAACCAUGAAUGUUUUAUCUUCCCAAAUUGUCAAGGAAAGUACAUCUCAACAGGUAAUGAUUUGCAAAAAGCCUAACAUUCUAUAUAAUUAAAAGAAAUUAAAACAACUCUCCCUUAAGUGUGCAGUCAAAGGUAAUUUUAGCCUGUCCCCAAACAGGUUAAAAGCUGCCUAUUUGGAAAUACGUUAUUGAUUUUACUCUCCUUCUAUAGAAAAGCAAAAUGAAAUGAUGUUGUAAAUUUCCUUUAACAAAGGAGAAAACCGAAUUAUUCUAGACAUAGAUUUUACUCUUGUUUUUUUUUUUAUAACAGAUUACUAUCUUACAGUUUCAAAAGUUAACCAUAAAUAAGUAUAUUGAAAACUGAGUUAUUUUUUCUUUCCUUUGUUAAAUUAUAAAAAACCUACCUAUAUUUAUGAGCCUAAUAAAAAUGUAUCAAACGUCAUUUCCAUUCCAUUUGUGAAAAUAUUUGUGCUUUAAUGAGUCUGUGGAGAUGGGACUUCUGGAGAGAUGACGGUAGGAGCCUUUAGGUGACGAGUGGGGUUGUUCUUCCUCAUACAGGCUAAUUCUUAGUUGAGAAGAUGAGUUUUUAAAAUAGGAAACAAAAGGGUUGUAUUUUCCCUGUAGUUUUUGUACUUUUACUAUCUUUGGACAAGUAAGAAUGGCGCUUUUCCCUUCGCCUUCAGCUUGUCUACUCCAUCAACCUUUGUGAUGCUCCUGACCUUUCACGUUUUACUUGCCAUGUCUUCUGUCCCCUGCCACUCAGUCUGAGCCUUUAGCCAGGCAAUCCAUGUCCUUUGCUUUCUGAGAUUGUAAAAGGUGAGAGUUAUGCUGAUCUUUAGUUUUUGAUCUGUUAACUAGGCAUCCGUGCUUCCCAUUUAAGGCAAGAUCGUCUGCAGACGGGCUCCUCAGUCUUACCAAAGCUUGUGUGUGUCUGAUCAAUUCUGGAUUUCCCCAGUGUGUAGACGAGAGUGACAUAUCACCUUUGAUGAUAUGAUGCUUAGGAUAUUUGAAUUUGUUAGCAUGGCCAUGAUUUGAUAGCAGCUUGGGGAGUAUUAGGAAAGUGUAUUCAUGAUCUCUUACUCUGUAGCAGUAUGUCCUAGUAUCUUUUCUGUGGCU